Molecule: non-coding RNA, 511 nt
Organism: Pelobates cultripes (western spadefoot toad)
Lineage: Eukaryota; Metazoa; Chordata; Amphibia; Anura; Pelobatidae
Source: the annotation of a GenBank genome assembly
AAACGCUGUAACGGCGUUAAGGGGUUAAACAAAUGGAGGUCAUUUAGUUACUAAAUUACCUCCUUUUGUUUAAAUAUACAUAGGGAUUAAGAAGAGAGCGCAGGUAACUUUUUUCCUUUGGUUUUUACUAUACAUAUUGGGGCUGAUGUGUACUGUGGUUGUUGCUGCCACCCAGGAGUGAUGGGAGUGAGCGCAGGACUUAUCUUUUUGUAUUGCCAUAAAUUAUUUAUUUAACCCCUUAAAACCGGAGGACGUACAAUUACGCCCUCUAAUAGGCGGCUCUAAACGCCGCCGGGCGUAAUUGUACGCCCUCCGGUUUUUUUUGUUAACUUACCCGGCGAUCGCGGUUGGGGGGACUCCCAGGGAGCCCCCCGCGGCACAUCCGUCCUCGUCGAAGCCCCCCGGCCAUGUGAGAGUGGGGUCCUAGCGAGGACCCCACAAUCACAUGGCCGGGGAUAGCUGGCUUCUGUAUUGCCGGCAGGGGGGCUGCCUGUAAUGACAGGUGGUCCCC